AUGGUUGUGAGCUCGGUGCCGGAGAGGAGCGGGAGGGCCGGGAUGGAGCAGCGGCUGCACCCCGAGGUGCCCGGGGGGAUCUGCAGCAGCUCCCCCAGGCAUCCCGGCGGGUGCUGUUCACCCCACGAGCAACACUGGGUACAUAAAGAGCCCAAAUUUCAUUCGGGGAAAGCGUGGAUAGACUCUCUGGGCAAGAGACUUUCUUUUAAACAAGUUAAAGACCAGAGUUUGGUGUAUGGGGAGAUGUUCAAGGUGCCACCCUGCCCUGUUUGUCCCACGAGAGGGGCUCCCAAAGCCACCAGCUUUGGUGGGGGACAUGAGAAACAAUCCCAAAUCCCGUGCCUAGCAUGUGCUAACAGCGGCUUCUCCUCCUUUGCAGAACGGGCAGGCAGCUCCAGAAGAAGGUGGGAAUCCUCCAUCCAAGGAGUGCACGUGGGAGAGCGAGGGACUGGAGACGGGGAAGAGGAAAGACAAACCCCUGUCCUCCUGUCCCUUUGGUCAUCCAAACACAGUGGAAGGUUUUCCAGAGCGUCACUUGGGUCCAGCACACCAGAGCUGGAGUGGAGGCUGCAGCCGAGGGCGAGCAGUGAGAACCCCAGGGUGUUUCAGAGCCAUGUUUAUGCCUCUCUCUGUGGUGUGAUCUUGCCAGCUGGGAUGAAGAGAAAUUGCUGGUUUUGGCACAGCUGCCCUUGCUGAGCGUCUGGUAUCUGUUUAUUCUCUUGUCUUGGUGGGGCUGGGAGAGGCUGCCCUCUGCAUCCCCGUUAGCAUCAGCUGGGAAUGGCUGAGCUGCCGUGUUUUGGGCAAGGAUCUGAGCCUGCUGCUCCUUCCUGAGACACCUAAAGCUCCACAGCAGAGCAGCGUGGUGUGAAGGACUGGAUUUGUCUGCUGUGAGACCUCCCCAGGUACAGGAGCAGCACGGUGCUGUCCCCUGGGCAUUUCCUGCUUGUGUCCAUUCCUCUGUCCUGCCCUCCCAGCAGAGCACAAGGGCCACGUCAGUACCGUGAAAUCAUAAUCCCUUCAGGAUUUCCUUUUGCCAUCCAGCCGUGCUCUGAGCGUGGAGAAUGACACAACACAUUGGAUUUGCCCUGGGCAGCCUUCCCGAGCAGCUUGUCAAGAGCUCUGUGCCCUCAGCGAGGGCCCUGUGGCAGCUUCUCUCUCUGAAUCAUCCUGCCCAAGGCUCUGGGGGCUUGUUGGGUUGUUUUUCCAGCUGGUUGCAUUGUAUUUUUAGUAAAAGACAUUUAAACCUAAACCCCAGUUGUCUACAUUUCAGCCAGUUGGGUUUUUUUAUCCUGGGACAUUUGUGGGUUUCUAGCAGUGCAUCUCUCCUACCUGUUGUGCCUCUCUGUCCCACUCUGGAGCUGGCCUGGCACUUCUUCAGCAGCUUGCAAAGAAAUCUUUGGGUCAGAUGAAUUCAGGUCAAUGGAACUUGCACUUCCCUCCUCUGAGAGCAGAGGGUUUAUGGCUCUUCACUGUGCCUGCAUCUCUGGCACGGGGAAAAAGGGAAUCUGUGUCUUCUGGUUGGAUUCCAGAGGGGUUUCUAAGGUUUGGGACUUUGCCUCUUUCAUCUUCAAACACUUGCCUAAGCUGCCCUCCCCUAAAUGCUGCUGAUGGAUGUUGCUUUAAAAAUCGUUUAGGAUUUUUUUCUCUUUGAAGGACACGACUGAGACAAACCCUGGCUGAUUCCAUCUGUGGGUGCCAUUCCACAGAAAGAUCAUGAGACAGAAGCCAAAAAGCACUUGAGGUUCCCUUUGCUGCUGUGUGGGAUGUGGAUGUGCAGUCCAGGCUGGAGCACAGCGCUGGGAAGUUCUCCAGCAUCCCAGAGCAGGGAAGGCACAAGAGCUCUGUGCUGCUGCAGGUGUCCUGCUUUCUGCUUUUCUGAGGCCCCGUGGCCAAAAUGCCUGUGAGCAGUGCCUGACAAUCCCAUUUUGGGUAAUUUUGAGCACCCAAAGCUCGGCUGCACGCUCCUGAAAUAACCUCGGUGGCGUUUUCCAAGUUUGUACAAGGUAUGUUUGCUACCAGCACAAAUGAAAUCUCUCCUGUAAACACAUACCUUCAGCUUGAGGGCAGCUCUGCCCUGAGAUGCUGCAGAUGGGGGAACAGGCAGCCCCCAGAAUAUCUGUGUGUGUUUGGGUUCUUUCUGUGCUUGGACAGCAGCAGCAGCUCCUGGCUCUGCCUCUGCCUCCAGCAGGAGAAGCAAGUGGCCAUCACCAUUAUCUAUUGUCAUACUGCAGGUUGUUCAGGCUCCCUCCCACACCCUUCUGUGCUGUGUGUGGAGAGCUGCAAGGGGAAGAAACACCUUUUCUCCAGGUUUGUGCUAUCCUUUUGCAGCUCAUUCUGUGAUCUCUGCUAAAAAUAACCUGAAGCUGCGACAGCGGCGAUUUCUCAACGCCCACACGCGGCCCUGGCCCUCCCGGCCCUGCCAACAGGACGGUGCCAAAGUCCAGUCCUCGUGUGCCUGGGCCAUAACCAAAGCCUCUGGAAAGGAGGAAAUCCAAGAGUUCCUCAAAAGAGUCGGGGAGUUCACAGCUGGUGCUGUCAGGCCAAUGGAGUGUGAUGCCUCUGUCACCAUCUUACCUGAAACAGGUGAAAUGGUCACAGCAGAGGGAGCAAGGGGAUGUUUUGGGCCAGGCUGGCUCUGUUCUGGCACUUUCUUGCUGCUUUUGUGGCUCCAGCUCAGCUUCCUACCCAGGACAGCUGGUGCAUUUCACAACCUGCCGUGUUUUACAGGUGCACAAGUCCCUGCAGGUCCCGUUCCUCAGGGUUUACCUUGGGAAUGUCUGCAAGGUCCUGGUGCUGCUUGGGGCUGGGUCAGAGCUCACAGUGGAUGGGAUGAGGUUGUGUUUUGAACCUGCACUGAAAACAGAGUUAAUCGUGGCCACAUCCCUAACACCAGGCUGCAGGAUGGGCACCAGGAUGGGUUUUUUUCUCAUCUUCUUUGGUGGUGGUUAAAAGCCUCUCUGGGUACAGAGCUUCGUUCUCUCUUGUGUUCUCCAAAUUUUAAUUGCCAGGUUGGGUGAAAUUGGUCCUUGUUCCUUGGGGAACAGCAACUGCAUUCAGUGGAAAAAUGGAACCUCCCAUAAUUGGGGUUUUUCAGCCUGCUCUGCAGCUAGCUGGGCUGAGGGGUGAGCCUGUGCUCCCUGGAGGUGCCAGGCAUGAGGAGUUAUACGUGGAAGUACAACACCCAAUUAGUGAAAUCACUUCAUCAUGAAGAGCAGAGGAGUGGAAUGGCAGUGCUGAGUGUGCCCACACUCUCUCUGGGGAAUGGGCUGAGGGUGCUGAUCAGCUUCCUCUGGGGUGAUAAUCACAGAGCUCCGGGAGAGCUGGGGAAGGGAAGAGCUGAGCUCUCCCAGCUCUGCACCAUAAAAGGGACCUUUGAGACGGGAGCGAGGGCUGUGCUCUGCCACAGACACCGGGCAGGAGGCGCUCCAGGCUGAGCCUGCCCGUGGCAGCGCAGGAGAGGGAGGGAUGAGGCUUUUCCCCAGCUCUGUGUCUCUCCUGUUGCUUUAUCCUGAGCAGGUCCAGCUCGCAGGCAGGUCCUUCCCUGCAGCAUCUCACGAGGGCACGAAGGAAUGCUGGGCAGGGACACCAUUCCCUGGUUGCCCAGGCCCUGUCCCAGCUGGCCUGUGAGGCUCCUGGGCCAGCACUGCCCUUGAGCUCCAGGCUGAGAGCAGGACAGGAUCCACAUCCAGUGCUGUGAUCCUGCUCAGGGCUGGACACCACUAAUCACAGCCUCUUAACGUGAAGGGUUUCAAAACAAGUGGGAGCUCUGCUCUGUGCGUGUUUGCACAGCUGCUGCUGGUUCCUCCAGGACCUGGAAAGCUGUGGAGCUGUGGGAAGAGGAUGCAGGUACCUCAGCAAAUCCCCUCUCAGGCCACUGCCCCUCUCCUGUGGCUCCCAGACAGCAGUGUUCUGGCCAGGCUGUGGGAGCAGAACAUCUCCAGUGUGCUCUGGUGCUGCCUGGAAAUUUCCCUGGCUCUGCAGGGACUGGGCAGCAGCUGUGGCCACGCUGAACAUUCGGCUUUUCCAGCCUGUCACUGGUAAAGCUCCGAGUUCAAACUGGCUGCUGUGCCUUGUCAGCUGAAGGAAUUGAGUGGCUUUGCUGCUCCAGCAGUGCCUGACAGCUGCCUGGCUUCUUCUGGCAGAGCCUUUGCUCUGUGUCCUUGGCAGGGCUGGGCUGUGGCGAACAGCAGCUUCUGAGCUCUUAAAAAGCACAAAUAAAUGCCUGUUUGAGGAGCA
This is a long non-coding RNA of Cyanistes caeruleus (blue tit), 4236 nucleotides long. The record is from Ensembl. NCBI's taxonomy places the organism in Eukaryota, Metazoa, Chordata, Aves, Passeriformes, Paridae.